This 202-nucleotide long non-coding RNA is filed under the name Mytilus galloprovincialis (Mediterranean mussel). The record is from RNAcentral. Lineage: Eukaryota; Metazoa; Mollusca; Bivalvia; Mytilida; Mytilidae.
GUUUAAUUUAUGUGAAAAUGGAAAUAAUUCUUUUAAGUGGAUUAAUUAUGUAAAAUCUAUAUUUGAUGAAACUGGUAACAGUGAAAUUUGGCAGGUACAAGGAAACGUUAAUUUGAAUUUUUUAAAAUUUAACGUUAAACAAAUACUCCAUGACCAGUUCAUACAAAAAUGGUUUUCGGAUAUCGAUAACUCAUCAAGGGGG